Cuculus canorus (common cuckoo) is the source of this 379-nucleotide long non-coding RNA. RefSeq lists it as uncharacterized. Lineage: Eukaryota; Metazoa; Chordata; Aves; Cuculiformes; Cuculidae. The transcript is spliced from 4 exons. The record is from RefSeq and is a predicted model, not a curated record.
GACAGAUGUGAGGGCCAUCCAUAUUUGCCCUCUCUGCAGCUGAUGGGUGAUACGAUGAAGUUGAGACACAAGGGCUACAAGAUCUCUCUCCCCUUUUGCCUUCUACUUCCCGUGUUCCCCCACUGACUUCUUUGGAUGCAUCCUGUCUCCAUCCAUCUGAAUGUCAGAGACCUUGCUGCUUAAAGUUGGGUAAUCUGCUAACAUCUGGAUCCCUGUGGCUCAUCUUUUGUCCUGGGUAUCACCACUACUGUGUUCCUAUGAUGGGAGCGGUGGAGAGGAGAGAUGGCAAAGAGGAACCUGGUGACUGUAGGAUCAUCCCACAUAGCUGAUGCUGUUGGAGUUUUUUCUUUUUCUGCUGAGGAUGACCACUGACCUUCUG